AUCCCUGUAGCGCAAUGGAUAGCGCGCGCGCGCGCGCGUCGGACUUCUAAUCCAAAGGUCGUGGGCUCGAACCCAUCUGGGAUG
Molecule: non-coding RNA, 84 nt
Organism: Trichonephila clavipes
Lineage: Eukaryota; Metazoa; Arthropoda; Arachnida; Araneae; Nephilidae
Source: the annotation of a GenBank genome assembly